CUCAACUUCAACUCUUCUCUACUAGGCAAACUAGCAAUGGCAAGAAAAAAUUGUAAUGUUGGUCAGAGAGCAUGGAACAUCCUGCGUCUAGCAUUGUUAUGGGCAAGAAAAGGUGGUGCUUUCAAGAGACGUUUGAUGGUGGAACUACGUGUUUUACCUAAGUUUCUUAAAAGCCUAACCCUAGGCCACACUACUUCUACAACUCCUCGCACCCAACUCUUUUAUAGAGAGCGCCAGCUCUCCUUCGACAAGACACCUAUUUUUCACGUCAAGAUGCACCGCCC
This 284-nucleotide unclassified non-coding RNA is filed under the name Hevea brasiliensis (rubber tree). The record is from RNAcentral. Lineage: Eukaryota; Viridiplantae; Streptophyta; Magnoliopsida; Malpighiales; Euphorbiaceae.